This is a long non-coding RNA of Drosophila albomicans, 474 nucleotides long. RefSeq lists it as uncharacterized. The record is from RefSeq and is a predicted model, not a curated record. NCBI's taxonomy places the organism in Eukaryota, Metazoa, Arthropoda, Insecta, Diptera, Drosophilidae. The transcript is spliced from 4 exons.
GUCCGCAAUUUGGUUUGUGUUUUGCACCCUACGCGACGAGUUGUUCGACGCGGCAUUCAGGAUUCCAUAGAAGAUUCGCACUCUAAGUGAUAUUUGAAGCACAAAAGCUCUAUUGACGCAAAUCGAACCAAGACUAGCUGCUGUUUCCUUUUUUUACUGAGUGAAACAUGCCGAUGCCCGUUAAGGAUCCCUGCAAACCUUGCGCUAGUCGCAUUGAAGCUUGCCUGCAGCACAACAAUUUCCAGGAGCAAAAGUGUCUGCAAGUGCUCGAGGAUGUGCGUCAGUGUUGCCUCAAGUGGCAAAAGGAAUCAUUUUGUUGCAAUGGCAUCGACUUAAAGAAAGCAUAUUUAAAAGAAAAUGAAGUUAAGAGUGUCUAAUAAAAAGCAUAUUUAAAAGAAAAUGAAGUUAAGAUUAUCAAAUAAAUAACAAACAUAAAUAAAUUCUUAUUCUAAGUGCAUCACAAAAUUGAGUUGA